UACGUAGGGUGCGAGCGCUAAUCGGAAUUACUGGGCGUAAAGCGUGCGCAGGCGGUUAUUUAAGUCAGGUGUGAAAGCCCUGGGCUUAACCUAGGAAUUGCGCUUGAGACUGGAUAGCUUGGAGUGCGGCAGAGGGAGGUGGAAUUCCUGGUGUAGCAGUGAAAUGCGUAGAUAUCAGGAGGAACACCGAUGGCGAAGGCAGGUCUCUGGGCUGACACUGACGCUCAUGCACGAAAGCGUGGGGAGCAAACAGG
Molecule: ribosomal RNA, 254 nt
Filed under: uncultured bacterium
Lineage: Bacteria
Description: partial 16S ribosomal RNA
Rfam family: Bacterial small subunit ribosomal RNA
Source: RNAcentral